Kwoniella sp. CBS 6097 is the source of this 92-nucleotide non-coding RNA. The record is from the annotation of a GenBank genome assembly. NCBI's taxonomy places the organism in Eukaryota, Fungi, Basidiomycota, Tremellomycetes, Tremellales, Cryptococcaceae.
GCCCGUGUGGCGAAAUUGGUUAUCGCACCCGACUUUUAGCGAAAGCAAAAAGGUCAAUCGGGCGGUUGCGGGUUCGAGCCCCGCCAUGGGCU